RNAcentral lists this ribosomal RNA (463 nucleotides) under uncultured bacterium. RNAcentral describes it as "partial 16S ribosomal RNA". It matches the Rfam family "Bacterial small subunit ribosomal RNA", at positions 28 to 507 of the family's 1533-position model. The record is from RNAcentral.
GACGAACGCUGGCGGCACGCCUAACACAUGCAAGUCGAACGGACUUAAAGGAGCUUGCUUUUUUAAGUUAGUGGCGGACGGGUGAGUAACACGUGAGCAACCUGCCUCUGAGAGGGGGAUAGCUUCUGGAAACGGAUGGUAAUACCCCAUAAAAUAUAAAUAUCGCAUGAUAGAUAUAUCAAAGAAAUCCGCCCACAGAUGGGCUCGCGUCUGAUUAGAUAGUUGGUGAGGUAACGGCUCACCAAGUCGACGAACAGUAGCCGGACUGAGAGGUUGAACGGACACAUUGGGGCUGAGACGCGGCCCAGACUCCUACGGGAGGCAGCAGUGGGGAAUAUUGCACAAUGGAGGGAACUCUGAUGCAGCGAUGCCGCGUGGAGGAAGAAGGUUUUCGGAUUGUAAACUCCUUUUAUCAGGGACGAUAAUGACGGUACCUGAAGAAAAAGCUCCGGCUAACUACGUG